AGUGAAGCAGUCAGAGAGUUCUUUUGUCUGGAUGACCCACCCACUAUAUCCUUUGACAGUCAUGAAGAGAGAAAGACCUUCUGUGAGACACUGGAAGAGACCAGCUGUUGCCUUCAGAGAGAAUUAACAGACAACAAAAGUGAGACUGAGUCUCUGAGAAACAUCAUGGUGGACAAAGAGCUCCACAUUAGCAAGACUAAGAGAACAAAGAAGUCUGAAUUGCAGUUCAUGAGGAGCCAUGGAGUGUGCUGGUGUGGAUCAGCAACUGACAGCCUAUGUACAAACAUUCAGAGCAAGGAUCUGGAGGUCCAUUCCAAGAACUUCGUUAACUAAAUUAAAACAAGUUUAACCCAAUAAAAAAGAAAAAUGUAAUUGCUGCCUUUAAGUUUUAAGUAAAAUUAAAAUGGUUCCACAGUUACAACCUGCAAUGAUUAGCUUAUUGCACUUUUUCUUUGACUAUUUUGAAUUUUAAAAUUACAGAAAUUAUUGUGACAAGUUAAAGGGAUGAAAACAAAAAUUAGAACACUUUCUCCAAAACAUCUUGUUUUAGUUUGUUCUUCUCCUCAAUACAAACAGAAAGCCUGUUUUGUGGUUGCAAGAUUAACAUAAACCCAAACCAAACCAUUUUUAGUGCCAAAUACUGAUUUGUAACACAUUAGACGUUUAACGGCUUUCAACUGAAAGAUGUUCUAUAAAAUGUUUAAUGACGUGAGUACUUAUGUAACAUAAAAGCUUUGCAUUCUAUCAGUUUGUGCACUUUUAUCGAGAUUUUACGUGUUUAUGCUUUGAUGCGUUUUUACUUCUGUGUUAAACCCACGCAAUACUUGCAGCCAAAUAGGUAAUGUCACUAGCUCUCCUACAAUACUGUCAUUCCCCUAUUUAUAUUUAUUGUGCACAAUAUUGUUUUGUUUUACUCAUCACUGAUGUUGUGUUUCUUCCAAGUGUAUGUCAAUCUGAGCAUACAAUUUCUGUUCAAUGGAAGCAUGUUACCUGGAUUUUUGUAUGUUUUUGACUCUGAUUUUUGAUUCAUU
Long non-coding RNA from Myxocyprinus asiaticus (Chinese sucker), 1031 nucleotides. RefSeq lists it as uncharacterized. Lineage: Eukaryota; Metazoa; Chordata; Actinopteri; Cypriniformes; Catostomidae. The record is from RefSeq and is a predicted model, not a curated record. The transcript has 3 exons.